RNAcentral lists this long non-coding RNA (1885 nucleotides) under Nothobranchius furzeri (turquoise killifish). RNAcentral describes it as "lncRNA (ENSNFUG00015001426.1)". The record is from RNAcentral. Lineage: Eukaryota; Metazoa; Chordata; Actinopteri; Cyprinodontiformes; Nothobranchiidae.
AUAUGGAGUUUGUUUGGCUCUACUCCCUUUGCCAGUGCACUUUGUCGGUUUGUGUGAUCGUAGUCAGCGUGAGGUUGUGCAUGGUGGUCAGCGGCAGCAGGCCUGUGACGGACGCCCGAGGUGGAACUCAGAGUGCCAAGAUCCAACUUGGGAACAUCUCGUGCUGCCUGCGGUUGUGCCUGGGCUAUGUGGGGGCUGUAGGUGGAGCGCUGGGAGUCCCAGUGGCUGUGUUGCUCAACCUGCGAACACCCCAGUGUCUCUACACCUGCAUAACCCUUGUAUGUUGCCCCUUGCUGAUCAGACAGUUUACCAUGUUCCUGUUAAUGAUACUGACGCUGGACACACACCUGCAGCACCACUUGGCCGACAGGUACUCUGCAGUGGUGACCCGGAGAAGAGCCCUGUGUGUGGUCUUGUUGUGCUGGGUGGGCUCGGUUCUGUCCUCCUUUGCACAGUUCAUUGGCACAGAUGUCCUCAGCACCUGGAAGAAUGGAGGUACUGGUCCAGGCACAUCUGGCCAUGAGAUAGAUGGCAACUGGACAACCUCUCUACCCCGUCUCACCUCUGCUCCAAUCCCCAAGUACCGACAAGAUCGCAAGGUCAUUGGGAAGAACCUUCCGUAUGGAGGCUUUUUGUCAAAGUUCUACGUGGAGGACAUGCGAAACUUCACCUACGCAGAGAUCCACAGCAGCCACUGGGGCGUAUGCGCAACAGACACAAUUCUCAGUCCCCAGUUUCUUGUCUACGUGCACGGGAUUACGGUGGUUUUUCUGCCUCUGCUUUUCUUACUGGUCGUUUUCUUCGAUCUGCUGUGCUGGUCCGCUUCGUAGCCCUGUCCAUCUCUCUUUUAGUUCUGCUUUGCCUGCCACUUUACAUCAUUGAGGCUCUUUUGCUUUUCACCCCUGAAACUCAUUUACCUGCUUGGGCUCACGCCGUGGCCAUGUUCCUCUUUCAGCUGUACAGUCUUGUGCCCCAGAUCCUCUUUACGCCUCCAAGGAAACGAGUGGGAGAAGAACGGGCAUCCUUCCCUCUUGCUGUUUCCAACUUCAAAGUGGCAGUAGCCCAUGCCGGAGGAAAAUCUGUCCGCCUGGCACUGCGUGAGGCGGUGCAGUCAGCUCCGUGGUCCUCGGCCAAACACUCUCUUAAAGCCAAAGUGUGCCCAGAGGUCUAAAUUUCUUUGUAAGGUAAACAAUGUGCAUUUUAUUCUUUCAAAAUUUGCACAUUUUCAAACAUUCAGAAUGAAUAAAUAAUCAGAGGACAAAUCUUUGUGCAUACAUUCAAAUGUAAAUGACUAGUUGACUGGAAAAUUACAGAAACAUCCUUGGUUUUUUUCGGGUUUCAUAUCCAAUCAGCAACACCGUGUGAUGGUUUGUUUACUUGCAAAUGAAACGUUCAGCCAAUUAUUAGAGCUCCUAGCAAAUGUCAGAGAGAAGAUGAAGUCUCUAGAUGGUGACGAUAUCUUGAUCAAAGAUGUCUGCUUUCAUUGACCGCUCUUCCUAUGGGUUUUCUGCUGAGCUUCUUUUAAAUCUCCACUAAGCUAACCGGCAGCAACGUAGAUGCAUGUGUGACAUGGUUUAAUUAAACAUCCAUUAAUAACACAGUCCAGAGAGAAUCCGCCUUUGCAAAGGAAGCAUAAUUAACCUGGUUGUGACACGAUCUUUAUGGCUGUUUUGACUUUACGUGUGAAUGCAACGUGACGCUCUGCUGAAAUUAAAAAACGAGUCUUGCUCACAAUAAUUGGAUUCUUCAUCUUGGACCAUGUUGGUGUUAAGAAAUCACUGAGGGAGAGAAAUGGAUAAAUUUCCUUCUGCAAAGAACAAGAGCAUGAAAGUCAAUAUGUCUUUUGUGUUUCCACUAUUAUAGACUCUCAAACUUUAGAAGACUU